GCUAGGGUCUCUCGCCGGCCCCGCCCUCCGACUCCCGCCGAGUUGAACCCCGCGACCCGCAGCCCCCGCCCUCUCGGCCCUCUCCGGCCCCGCGCCGGCGGACAAAGCUCCGGACACCCCGACCAAACGGUCACCUCCCCCCGCCCCAUCCCGGCCGGCCCGCGGCCUCGUACCUCGGCAUCACGGCCGGGUCCUAGAUGCCUUGAGCGUGAUUCCUGAGAAUGCUGUCUCUGAACUCCCACUACACCAUGACCGUGGCUCCCUCACCAUGGCCCUGAGCUGUGCCAGAGAGAAUGGGUUAUUCAGUGAGAACCUUGAACUUAUGUGCCCAGACCUCCCCUCCAAUCUACUAGGAGUGCAGAAGGAUCUGCAACAGGUAUGCUGUAGUGGUGGUCAGGACACCCCUGCCUGAACUUCACCCAUGACCCUUGUCCUCACCCCCACCCCAGGGGUCAUAGUCCAGUGAGGGUGAGCUGGUCAGAGUGGACCCUAAAUCAAUCCCAGACCUUCCCGGCCGGCUCUGAGUUAUGAGCUGUGGGCUUUGUGAUGUAGAUCAUGGUUGAGGAGUAGGGGGCAUGACCUAUGGCAGGUCACACAGGACCCCUAGAAGGGGCCAGAGCUGGGGUCAGAGGCCACCUCCUUCAUUCUCUGUCCUGCUCUACUGGGUCCCAUCCUGAAUCUAGUCCUUCAGCUGGGCUGGACCAUUUCCCCACUGACUGCUGGCUCCAGCUGUAACUGCCACCAAGCCUGGAGGCUGGGAGGAGAGGGGCUUCUGCUGGAAAAAGAUCCCAGAAGAAAGGAAAGGGAUGAGAUGCACAAUAUUUGGUUCCCUAGAGGUGGCUGGUCCAUGCUCCAAACCAGCCUCAAAAGUCUCCUGAGUUCCUUCUCUGUAAAUUUGCCCCUGCACCUUCCCCUUCCCCCACCCCACCGCAACCUUCUCUUCUGAUUGAAUUCCACAAGUCAAGACUCCGGGCAAAAAUCCAGCCCAAAGGAUUAGAUGGCUGGAGAUUAGGCAUGGCAGUCAAAGAGCAAGUUAGGGAGAACCAAGCCAUGCUCCAAACAGUGUAUGUUAUCAGGGCUUAAGAGAGAGCAUCAGAGGGAGAGAGAGAUGGAAAGAGCCAGACGGCGAGAUGAGAAAGAUCAAGCUGAAGAAAAGGGGACAGGAAAACAGAAAGAGGAGUACCAGCAGAAGACACUGAAGACAGCUAUUGAGAAAUAGGAGCGGCAGGCAAAGGAACAUCCUUGUGAACUCCUGUCAGACCCCAGAGGCUGAGAGGCCCAAAGGAGGGUAAUCCAUAAAGUGCCUUUGCUUUUAAUCCUUAAGACCAGCAGCCUGAGA
Molecule: long non-coding RNA, 1339 nt
Filed under: Macaca mulatta (Rhesus monkey)
Lineage: Eukaryota; Metazoa; Chordata; Mammalia; Primates; Cercopithecidae
Description: lncRNA (ENSMMUG00000063862.1)
Source: RNAcentral